This 286-nucleotide ribosomal RNA is filed under the name uncultured bacterium. Its description in RNAcentral is "partial 16S ribosomal RNA". It matches the Rfam family "Bacterial small subunit ribosomal RNA", at positions 355 to 655 of the family's 1533-position model. The record is from RNAcentral.
UGGGGAAUAUUGGGCAAUGGGCGAAAGCCUGACCCAGCAACGCCGCGUGAGGGAAGAAGGUUUUCGGAUUGUAAACCUCUGUCGCAGAAGACGAAGGAAGUGACGGUAUUCUGUGAGGAAGCCCCGGCUAACUACGUGCCAGCAGCCGCGGUAAUACGUAGGGGGCAAGCGUUGUCCGGAAUGAUUGGGCGUAAAGGGCGCGUAGGCGGCCCGGUAAGUCUGGAGUGAAAGUCCUGCCUUCAAGGUGGGAAUUGCUUUGGAUACUGUCGGGCUUGAGUGCAGGGAG